Molecule: RNA transcript, 9343 nt
Organism: Cavia porcellus (domestic guinea pig)
Lineage: Eukaryota; Metazoa; Chordata; Mammalia; Rodentia; Caviidae
Gene name: histone H1.8-like
Exons: 9
Source: RefSeq, a predicted model, not a curated record
CCUUCUCUUCCCGGAUUGGCAGGCGGCUAGCGGCGGUGAGGCGGGCGCCUAAAUCCGGGUCCUUAGACGUUCGUCCGGGACGCAGCGCUCGCCGUCCAGCCGCGCUUCCCUCACACCUGCUGGCAUGCGUGUGGGCGCCCGCGCAGGUUCUUAAAAUGAAGAAGUUUAAUUUCCGAAAAGUUUUGGAUGGCUUGACUGCCUCCUCACCGGGCAGUGGCAGCAGCAGUGGCAGUAACAGCGGUGGGACUGGUAGUGGUCCCUUGCAUCCAGGAGGGACAGCUGGAGUUCUGAGAGAGGAGAUUCAGGAAACCUUGACUUCAGAAUAUUUCCAGAUUUGUAAGGAAUACCAGGUUGAAUCAAUAAUCAAAAUUGCUACACAUAUUUUUGUGAGUGGAACAUCUAUACUUGUGUGAGCUGUUCACUGAGAAUCUGUAACCCACAGGACAGGUGGAGAGGUCAGCUAGGAAACAGCAGAAAACAGAAGACAAGACUGCAGUGAUAGACAAAGAUGGAUAUCAAGCCAAAUGCAACAGCACUGCGUGCUGUCGGGCAACAGCAAAGGAUCCCUGUGCAUGCAAAAAGAAAGUUGCACAAUAUGAAGGAAGCAGUAAAAAUGAAAUGAAGUAGAAGAGACAUGCAGAAAGAAAAAUGCUCUCGGAUAUGUCACAAUCAUCUUGAUUCUUUACCUGGAAAACCUGUAUUUUUUCCUUUGUAAUUAUCUAAUAUACUUUGUGUCAAAGAACAAGGACCUGAGUUCCACUUAAAGAAGAUGAAGAAGUUAACAGAUACCGUUCUCAGGUUUUAUCAUGAAAUUAGAAAUGAAAAUUUUCAGUUUCUGGUAGACAUGAACAGAGAGCCUCAGGUAAGCCCGAGAGUGCAGGCAGACAGGAUGCUCCUGCGCAGGCUCCUCAGGUGCAGCUAUGCUGGUGGGAAAAAUCAUGCUGUUUAGCCUAACGAGGCAAAACAGAAUAAAGGCUAAGGUACUUCAGUAGAGAGGGUCUUAAAUGCACAGCUGUAUCAGCUGCUGCCUCCUUCCCACCUGGUCUUCAUUUUUUCUCUGUGUAAUCUGUUUGCUUCCCUACUGGGCCUGCUAACAUUAUCUGAUUCCAGGCCAAACUGAUAAUAUUCGUUAUGAGGCCUGCCAAAAUUAAUAAAAUUUGAGUUCGUCAUCUUGGUGUUCCCUGAACUAAAGUUAACUACCUGUGUCAAAUCCUAAAGUCCACUUGUUACACCAGCAUCAGGCUAAGAUGUAAACUCCAUUUGAACUACCAAAUAGCUGCACUCCUCUUGAAACUCUACAUGCACAGACAGAUGUUUGUUUGUAAGUGGAUACAAUAGACAGAGUGCUUAUUGGUGUUUUAAAAGCCAAAACCUGGAAUACUUUUCUUUUGACUUUACAUAUGGAGAAAAUUACAGUGUAAAAUGUAGACAAGAAUAAAAUAAUACCAAGAUGAGUAAGUCCAUUAAAAAUGUAGAUGAGCAAAUGACUUUAGCAUUAUUAAUGCUGAUUGGGAAUUUGACUGGCCAAAUGAGCAUGUUUAUACUUGGGACCAAUUAAAAGGCUUACCAUUUUAAUCACUGGCAGAACUGGACAUUCAGUGUUUUCCUGGAUGACAAGAAUUUUCUUUUGUUGUUUUUUCAGUUUGGCUUUGUUUUGGUCUAGUGAACUGCACCAGAGUGUCCUCAGUGUAGAGAAGAUAACAAUACACUACCACAGUGUUAGUAAUAAUAUCUUGUUACUAACAUUUAGUAACAGUAUCUCAGAGUCUCUCUACAGCUUGAGGGGAAAACAUUGCUGCCAUUCCUACCCUGAGGAAAAUCUACAGUAACAGAAUGUUUCCAGAAGUAGAAACAUCCUACCAGUCCAGAACCUCCACGUGGACCCGACCUCUCAGCUUUCCCUGACUCCCCACCAGGGCAGCUGCUGUGUAGGAUCCGCUGUAACGUACCAAAGGCACAGGCGGUGCAGUGCGUUGGGGCUGGACUCAUGGAGAAUGUCCUGGAGCUUCCCAAGAAGACCCCUCCAACAUUACUAGGCAAAAAGGUGGAUCCAGAACACCCUCCUAAGCCCCGGGAACAGUUCCUCCUGAAAUAAUUAAAUAGACACACAUCUUUCAGCUUUGACUUUUUUUUAAUCAGCCUGAAAAGACCAGCUUUCAGAUUCCCAAAGAAAUUGCAAACACAUCUUUUAAAAAAAAAAAUUAUGGGGAAUCAAACUCAAAGACCCUCUACUUUGGCUAUUGGUACACAUUUCAUUCCUGGAGAUGGUUAGAAUAUGGUGUUUCUAAAAUAGAAGGACUUAUCUUUCCUCCUCUACUUUGCAACUAAGAUUAGUAUGGUGAAUAAAGCCAGUUUGGAUGAUUGAGCUCAUAAUUUUUAACUAAUGUCCACACUCAUAGUGUUUAAUUAGGACAUUGAAUUCUGGGCUUUUGAAUUGAGCUUUACAACCUUAGGUGACUGUAAUCAUUUACUUGCGUGUGUGUGUGUGUGUGUGCGCGCACACAUGUGCAUGUGGGUAUAUUAGACACGGUGUCAGUAAGUCGUUAAGCUGCCCAGGCUGGGAUCAUACUUGAAAUCAUCCUGCUUACACUCGGAGAAGGCUGAAAUUACAGGUCUGUACUGCACUUAACUCUAAUGAACAUUUAAGAGGUAUAUAGUCUAAAUUAGAAUGCAUUAUAGUUGUGAAAUGUGCAGUGGAUUUCAAAUGCUUACGACACAAAAAAUUAAAAUGUGUAAAAUUAACUCUUUCUGAGUUAUGUCCUCAUAUGUGAUGCAUGGUUUCAGUCCAUACCUCUGCUCUGUGAGGUUCACACCUCUGUUCUCAGACUUAAUAUUUACUUACUUAUAUUCCAAUUCUCCACAGUGGUUCAUAUGUAAUUUUUUACAGUAUAUUUAUUUUGCAACAUUAACAGUUGUGCUUGGCAGUUAUUAGAUUCUGAAAAAAAAUUAAUCAAAUUUUAUUUUCUAAUAAGUAGUGCUUAUUUCACAUGUAAGUGAUAUAGACAUGUUGUAAAAAUUUUAUAAAUAAUUUAUUUUUCUAGUUUAAGAGAUAUUUUUACAAUCGGUAUCAUUUCUAGAUAUCUCUAUGUUUUCAUUUUAUCUAGACAGUAGUUACAAUGUUUUCUCUAAUUGCUGAAGAAACUCUCAUACCAAACUAAUUUCAAUUCCAUACAUUGUGUCAUCUGCUGUGUGUCAGCUUCUAUUUUAAGUGGCACAAAUAGGCAGCAAAUGAAGAAAACAACCCUGUUUCCAAGUAUUAAAUUUGAGAUAGAGCAUGCAGAAAAAGCAAGAAAAAAUAAUUUAACUCAGAAAUGCAUCAACAACAAUAAAGUUAACCUUAGCUUUAGGUGAUAUGAUAAAGGAAGACAUCUGUGAUAAACUGAAUUUUAAACUGAGAAAUCUGCUGAAAAGGAACAGAAAUACAAUGAUAUCAUUAAAGUUCUUAGCUGAAAGAGGAAGGUAUAGGGGACCUGAAUCAUUAAUAGGGCUGGCCUGAAUGAGGAACACCAUGGAAACCAGUACAACUUGAGUAGCAUUAAGUGAUUAUGAGUAGAAUAGUGGACAAGAUCAAAUAAAUGGGCCAGCACAGCUCAUGGACGGGCCUAUGCUUUAGGUGAGCAUUUGAAUAUACUUUGUAAGGGCAAUAUAAUAUUGUUCCUAUUUUUGACACAUUUGAAAAUAUAACAUUUAAAAUGUGUUAUUCCAUUGCAUAAAGGAUGAAUUUUAGCAGGUGUGAUUUGUUAAAAUCAAGGAGAUCAUUUAAAAAUUCUUUUAGUAAAACAAAGGCAGAAGGUGAUGAUUCAAAAAAAAAAAAACAUUUUCAGUGGAGAUGAAAUUCAGACAGUGUAAGUUUUUACGCAGUUUAAACCUUUGCCCUAUAUUUUGGUCCCACUAUGUAUUAACCAAAGAAUCUUGUUUUCAUUGAAUAUAUUUACACUUUUCUAAGGUAGAUUUAUACUAAAUUAUAUUUUUCUAUGCAUUUUUGGUAACCUUAGACAAGUAGCGUAAAUCUUACACAACUAUGAAGAAUGAAAUACUAAGACUGAUAAAUUAUUUUCUAAGCAUCAAAUUGUUAAUUAAUUGGGAUAGAAUUCCUCAUUUUGAAACUAUAGCACCACUUUUAAUGCAUAAUAUCACCUCUCCUUUACUAAAGAACCUAUCAGAUGAACAAAUUUAAAUUUAAUUAUGGCUUGUGUAAAGAUGCCUUCCCAGCUCUCACGCAGUCAUUGGUGGGGCUUUUUCAGAGGUGACUGGAUCUAGAGUGCGGGAUGCUGGAAUUGAUUCACGGUGCAUUGCUAGGGCACUAGGAUUAAGGGUGUGAGUGCCACUCAUCCUAUUUUGUCCUGGAUGAGAUAUAAGGGAUAGAAAGAGCUAUGGAUGUCCCUUCUUGGUUUUCUACCUGAACCCUUCCAUGAACUGUUUUUCCUCCCCAGUGCCUGUUGACAUGACACCUCCCUUGGAGCCAGCCAAUUACAGACUCAAAUCUUUUAACUGUGGGCUAAAGAGAAACAAGACAUUUUGUUAGAAAAAACAUUAAUUUUUAGAAUGUAAUAAUGUACGAUUACAAAAAUCUUCACUGCUAUCUACUAAUUUUGACUUUAUACUUGGAAAUAGUGUAGUUUUGCUUUGAAUUGAUAAUUUGGUUGAUUUUGACUUUAGAGUCUUUGAUUAUGGUGAGGAACAGAAUAUCAAAAUAUCAUACUUAAAUAAAUUUAGACUAUUUAAUGUGAUUGAAACCCUCUUUGAGUACACAGUUGACCAAUUUUCAAGGGUGCAGUAGUCUCUAUUUACCUGAAUUUUUACACCUAUAAAAUAAUUUAAUCAUUUGCAGUAGCUAUAAAGAGCAAAUAUAAUUUUUCCAAAUAUAAAAUAUCAUUAUAACAUACAGAAGUAAAUAUUAUAUUGCUAUUAAAAUACAAAAAUAUAUUUAUGAAUAUUUUGGGACCUAAAGUAAAACUUAUAAAGUCAUGGGAUGUUUAUGCUGUUUUUUACUUUGUAUAUAGUGUGUAUUCUUCAAAAGGAAUAGCAAAUUAUUGACCAGUUACAUAAAUUGUGCAAUCAAUGCAUAACCAUUAAUAAAAGGAUAAUAUCAACUAUUCAACAAGGUCAAUUUUGUACUUUGUAGUAGGAAACCCAGAAGGUAAUAAUAAAUAUCACAAUGAAACAUCAUCAGUAGAAAAAUGUUAGAAAGUUUUAAAAUUCUACAUUUUUAAAUAUAUUCUAAGUAUAAAAUUUCAAUGAUAAAAAAUUUCUUGACAAAAAUGAAUCCAGAAUAACUGAAUAGAUAAAUGGACUCUUCGAUGGUAUAUAGACUGCAGUGUCCUCUGAUUAAAUGUAUGUGACAGCACCGAGUGUAGUUUGGUUAUUGCAUUUACUUUCAGAGUGCUGCCAGUUCUUACAAUAAUCACUAGUUUUGCAUUCUCAAAAAUGAACCCUGAAGAAUGACUACAGUGUUCGUCAUUUUGUUUUAUGGUACUCAUGGCCUUAUGGCAUUUGUUCUCCUUUUGGGAGUUUGAAGUUAGUAGAAAACAUUUAACAAGGAAUUGCAUCCAAGGUCCGUUAAAGGCACUAGAUUUUAUACUUUGCCCUUUUUUUCUUCAGCAUUCACACUUUGCCUAGCAUAUUUUUAGAGUUAGGAGAAAUUCAUGGAGAAUCAGCCUAAAAAUAUUUAUUUUAAUACUGUAAAAUUUAAAUGAACUUCCAGUCACUUCCCAAAUGUGUUACAGGAAAAUUUGGAUAAGACUGAAUCUAUAAAACAAAAGAUUGAAGGGGGGAAGCAGAGAAAUCAAUAGUAAAAAAAUAACUAAUUGAGUCUUUUACAUGUAUCACCUCCUCAUGAUGAAUUUAAUCAUUUUAUAAAGACUUUGUGCAUACAUAUGCACAUUUGUAAAUAUACAAACACAUUAACUUGUUUGUAUUUAUCUUAAUUAACAAGAUAUUUUUGUAAUCAAUUUUAAUAAACUAUUUCUUAGAAAAACACAAAAAUUAAAUGAAAGUUACAAAUUCUUGAAAACUUUUCUCAUCAUAUUUAUACAAUCUUUAUACUAUUAAUAUGCCUCACCAGAGCAUUAUAUCUGUAGAUGUUUAUGAAACUAUGUAUAUAAACCAUUAUUACUAUAUCUACAACUUACUUUUGAAUUCAUUCUGGAAGUUGUAUAUUCUAAAGAUUAAGACAAUAUAUGACCAUAUACACUUCAUCAGAACUCAAUAUUUUAUCACCCUAAAUAUCCUUUGCUGGCUAAGUAUCCCUCUCCCUCAAGCUCUAAUCAUUUCUGAAAACCAUUAAUCAUUUUACUGUCCUUGCAGAUUUCAGUAUUCCACAAAGUCAUAGAGUUGGAAUUAGUAUGUUGACAUAUUUGUUUGAGUACUCCAGAGGAACAGCAUAAGUAGAAAAUACAAACACUUAUUCAAGAGGAAUUUUUUAGUAAGGUUACAGAAUGAGAAGCAGAAAAGUCCACAGUGAUUAUCUGUGUGAGGAAGAACUGGAAGAUACAGAAGUUGUUCAACCCAGGAUGAUGGACAAGAAGGAUCAAGGGCACAGCACCAGUCCAAGAUCAAAAGCCUGGAAACUGACUAGCGUGACAUCUGUGUAAGUCUGCACUGGAAGGCUGAAGUAGAAACCGACAACCAAAGGUGAUGGGAAUCUUAGAGCUCUUCAAACAUGUGAUUAUAAGCAUUUUUAAAUGCAUGUUGUCAUUUAUCAUUGUGUUUGUUGAGACUUUUGCUCAAAUCUUUUGCCUAUUUUUGCAAUCAGAAUUUUUUUCUUACUGUUAUUAUAAAGGAGUGCUUGCACAUUUUGGAAUAUUGCUUUCAUUAGAGGUUUACUGAAGAAACAUUUUCUCUCCGUCUGUGGGGUUGUGGCUUCAUUUUCUUAUUGUUGUCUUUUGCAUGGCUGGAGCUUUCAGUUUUAAUAAAGUGAGUGUUUUCAACUAUUUUUUAAUAUCUUUGUUAUUAGAGAUAUCAUCAAAAAGUCACCUAGGCUUUCUUUUAGGUUAUCCUCCAUGAGUUUUACAGUUUUGAAGUCUAUUUUUAAGAACAUGGUCCACUUUGAGUUACUUUUUGUGAAGUUUAUAAAGUUUAUAUCUACAUUAAUUUAUUUUGCAACCAGAUGUCCAGUAUUUUCAUGGUCAUUUAUUUAAGUCUAACUACUUUGUAUGUGUUUUACCAAUACACAGUUGAUUAUAUUUCUGUGUUGCUAUUUAUGGGCUCACUAUUGCAUUCAUUUAUCUCUUUGCUUAUUGUCUUGGUUACUUUUUACUCAUUGCUGAGACAAAAUAUCCCACAAAGUGGGAAAGGAAAGAUUUUUUUUUUACAGUUUUUGGUGGUUUCAGUCCAUACUCAGUUGGCUCCAAGGCAGGGUGGCAUGGCAUAGCCGCAGUUCAUGGAGGCUGCAAACAGCAAGGCUGAAACCAGCAAAAGAGCCUGACACACCUUCUUCCUUUCAUUACAUCACAUCCUGGCUCCACCCCUCUGUGGGUGGAGCACUCAGACCAUCAAUCCAAGCACUAGACGAUGAACCAAUCACAAAUGCAUGAUGCAAACUCAUGAGGCCUGGGGGACACAACAUACACCAAGACACUUCCUCUUUCACCAGUAUCACGUUAUUCUGAACACUUUUUCUUGAUAGUUACAUUUAAUUAUUAACAACUUUUUAAAAAUUUUUUUAAAUUGUAAGUAGGCAGAUUAAAUCUCAAAUUGCUUCACCAACUCAUUAAAGUAUCUAAAAUUACCCGCAGCUUCUAUUAAAAUGCAUAUUUAUUUUGAGAAGACUCAUUGUAGAUUUAGUACUGUGCAUUGUAAAUAAGCACAGGAUGAUGGUUCCUAGAUCAUAUUUUUAAAAAUAAACCAAAAUAGCAAACUAACUUUGAGGCUGUUUAACCAGUGAUUCUAGAAAAUGUUCUUCUCUAUUAUACACAUAUAUACUUUUUAAUAAAAAAGGAUAGUCUCUAAAACUUUUAAUAAAAUAAACACAUCAUCUCAAAUAAUCAUAUAUCUAUAUUUUUACUUGAUUUAAAACAUAUUAAUAUAUGUUUUAUAUACAAAUGAUUCUUAACAGAUGAACAAAGCUCCUGUAGUCAGACUUUAUUUUGGAAGUCAUUGUGGUCAAAUAGCAUGUUCUUUGAUUUAAACAGUAUUUUAUUAAGCUUAUUUAAAUUUUAUGUAUAUAAAAUUGCUAUCAUUUUUUAUGUAAGCCCUGGGAUAUCCUAAUAAUACAUUUUGUCUACUUGGUAAUAAUUUAUCGACGAGUAAAAAUUAUUACAAUAAUUUUUAGUAUAAUGAAAUAUUUGUCAACCUCUUGGGUUUCAUAGAUCUAGUAAAUCAUUUUCAGGAAUAUAUAAAACUUAUUAAAGUAAACACUAAAAGUAAGCAGUCUCAAUACAAAACUAGAAAGGAAGAAAAGAAACCUAGAAAAUGGAUUAGGAGGGUAAAGGUCUAGUUUUUAAUUUUAACUGGAAAAAUCAUAGAAAAUUAGAUUUAUAAAACUAUAUAGAAAUUUUACCAACUUAUUUCUUGCAUCUGAUUGCAUUAUUGUGUUUUCAAGAAACAUCAUUUUCAAAUUAACCUCCAUUAAAUCUCAAAGUAUCCACUUGUUUUCAGUGACUUCAUAGCUUUUCAUGUCCUCCAUUUUUUGUGUUUGAGUGUUGUAAACUAUGAUGAAUUGGAAAAGAUUGAUUUCACUGCACAUUAGAUAUUACUUGACUAAAAAAAUUAUAUGUAAUUAGGAUGUUUAAUGUAGCUGUUUUCAAAUGGUUGGUAGAUGUAGUUCCCUUCAUCAGAAUGAUUAAACUUGCUUCUUCAGAAAAAAGAUGUAGAGAGAUGGCGACAUGAACUACAAAAGCUACUUGCAGAAAUAAUCCAGAAGAAUUUUCCUAAUUUAGCAAAAGGUAAAGAUACUCAGAUGUAUGAAGCAUUCAGGACCCCAGCCACCUACAACCCAAACAGAGCUACACCCAGGCAUAUAAUAAUCAAAAUACCAGAAAUCCAAUAUAAGAACAGAGUAUUAAAAGCUGUCAGAGACAAGAAACAGAUCACUUACAAGGGUACACCCAUCAGAAUUACAGCAGAUUUCUCAGCACAAACCAUCAAAUCACGAAGAGCGUGGGGGGAAAUAAUUCAAGCUUUGAAAGAUAAUAACCUCCAGCCAAGAUUGAAAUGUCCUGCACAACUAUCCCUGGAAAUUGAUGGAAAAACAAGGUGCUUCCAGGAUAAAGAGGAACUAGGGGAAUAUGCAACCACCAAUCCAACUUUACAGAGAAUACUGCAGGAUAUUCUAAAAAAGGAAAAUACCAAGAUUCCAGAAAUAGUGGCAGAGAGGCCACAAUGAAUGGAGCAGAAAGCGAAA